This is a long non-coding RNA of Poecilia latipinna (sailfin molly), 2938 nucleotides long. RefSeq lists it as uncharacterized. The record is from RefSeq and is a predicted model, not a curated record. The transcript has 2 exons. Lineage: Eukaryota; Metazoa; Chordata; Actinopteri; Cyprinodontiformes; Poeciliidae.
UUAAAUCAUACACUAUUUUUAGCCCUUGCGCAAAUGAGUUGGAGAUGGGCAGACAACGAAAUGGGGCGUGGUCAGAUAGUGGGCGGGGUUGGAUGUUUGACUCCACCCUCAAAUGGUAUUGAUUGGAUAAUCUUCCACAUGUCUGUUUCACUCAGUAGUGGUUUUACUCCUGAAGUGAGUUAGUUUUAAAGUUGCCUUUUUGACAGACAUUGUCUAUGUGAUUCACUACAGAGACAGCGAUGGAAAAUUCAUGGCAGGUGUUUUAGAGAAUGCAGUUAUUCCCUUAAGAAUGCAGAAUGGUGACAAUCAACAAAUUCCAGUCAGUCAAAAAUAUGUAAACAGUAGAGCCUCAAAAAUCAGAUAACUGGCAAGUCAAGGCUCUCUCCAACCACCAGGUCCAAUUUAUAUAAAAUUAUAUUGAAUCAAAUGCUAAACUAGAAGCUUCUGAAUGACCCAGCGACGUCUCCAUCUGUAACUAUUUAUCCAUCUUUUUGCAUGAAACUGUACAUGAAUCACCUCUCGUCAGUCGUUAAGAGUGUGUGAAUGUGAAUCUGACUACAGAAGGAUGGUGGUUUAAUAGCCCGGUUCCCCAUAAGGCGCGAUGUUAUUGAUGUAUUGAACCAGUCAGUUAAUACUAUCCACUCAUCAGCAGUCCAUUUGUCCGACCAAAGAAAGCCUCAGUAAGUUUAAACUCAGAGAUAAUGUUUUAAUAUGAUCUGAAAAAAUCAAAUUCUCAGAUACUUUUUUUUCUUCUUUUUUUUUUUCCAUAUCCAUUUACACUCAGAACAAACUACAGAGGCUUCAUCAUCACAGCUUCUGGAAUAAAAACAUAAGAGCAGCUUUGUGUAACCUGUUAUUAGUCAAAGCAGUUUCCAUUCUGAGCCUGUUCCUCUCGCUCUGCCCACACAGUCUGCAUCUGCGUGUUUGUCACUGCGAAUUAGAAAGAGCGCUAACGCCGCUUCCUAGAGUGUGUGAAUGCCUUUCUCAGGGUCAAACACUUCGUCGGCUGCCGCGUCCAUCUCAGCGUCUGUGUGUUUGUGCAGGGCGGCGGCGGAGGUAAGGUGCGGUGGCCGGACCCUCACCGAGACGGCGCGGGAAGCUUUCUGCGUUCCUCCCUAACCCGGUUAGUUUAUCUUAUUUAGCGGCGGGGCGAGAAAGGGCCGCAGCUGCUCAUUUGCUUUGCCAGCUUCAACAGAUUGGAUUCCUGCAGUUCGAGCUCGCCUUUUCCAAAACCAGCCACCGCAUACGCGGGCUCUCCUUCUGCUAGCCGCUACAGCGGCGCCGUAAAUCAUCCCUCGUCAGCUGCCUGGCUCAUGGGACGGACUAAUCUCUCCUCCUCUGGCUCUUUAUAAAAAGUGACUUGUUAUCCGCUUGGCCUGAGGGGCGUUUAGGGGACCUUCUGAGCUGGAAAACUGCCCAGGUGGGAAACAAAGAGCUACAACCUGAGUGUGACUGGUAUCGGCUUCCGUGAGGCAGAUAGCAACACUUCCGCAACCUGAUGGCUCUCGCGCUGAAUACAUUAACCGCUGAUCUGUCACAGAAUGUAUCUCCUGCUUUUUAUGUUUGUUUUUUUUUUUUUUUUUUUUUUUUUUUUUAAUUUUAAGGAUCCAACCGGAUCAUCUUGGGUGCCUUUCUGUGAAACAAAUAAUUAAACUACAAAUGAAAAUGGCUGCAUGCGGUGUAAGAGCGCUCCUUUGCAGACCGGGCGCCAUUGAUUUUUCGACUUCCUGCAGCUCAUUGUUUUGCUUUUACGACGCAGUUACAAUAAAAAUCACUCUUAACUCUCUAAUUACCCCCCAUUCCCAGGUCGGUCUUUGUUGUUGAGAAACAAACAGCUAAACACAAUCCCAAUUACAGGCUGAAGUAAUGCCGGUAGGGGCUUCACUAAAGUAUUCACACCGCAUUUUUACGUUUCAUCAUAUUAGAACCACCGACUGCAAUUUUUUUUUUUAUUAGGCAAGGGAAGUACAUAAUUGUAAAGUGGAUUUUUACUAUUAUUUAUAAUAAAUUUAUAUAAAAUGGUCCAAUCAAAAUUCUGAUCUACCAGCAGCCGAGAGACUUGAAAAUGGAUAGGCUACGGGGACUAAAGAAAAAUUUCAGACUCUAAAUUUGCUGAGACAAACCAAAGGUUUUGCAGCCGUAACAGCUGCUGAACAGAAAUGCGCUCUCCUCUGUUCUGUCUUUUACUGGUCAAAAACCUUUAAACUCUUUUCCUCCCUCUAUACAACUAUGUGCUACCUUGUGUUGGGUUAUUGCAUAAAAUCCCAAGAGAACAUGUCAACAUUGUGUAUGCAGCAAUACAAAAUGUAAAAAAGAAAAGAAAACUAGCAGGUUUGAAAACUUUCGCUGCACUUUUAUAGACUUGAAAAGUUCACAAAAGCCACAGAACCGAGGAUUCGCCCGACACCAUAGAACUGAGCUUCACACUCUUACGAUGUGAAGUCCUUCUACCUGUCAGGGAACUGGGUUGCUCCUGUCUGUGUGGUGCUUUUUCCGGUGCCUGUAGGUUUCUCCCCGGAUGGUGGGGGCGAGAAGGUUUGCUCCCACACGCCUGCGGAUCAUCAGCCAUCAGCCUUGGAGGAUAAGAGGAGCGAGCUGCUGAUCGUUCUUCGCCUGCGUGUUAGCUUAAGUGGUAUUUCUCUGCGUCUCCUGCUGGAAUAUCGUCCUCUGAACCCACGUCUUACUGCUGGAAGAACAAGUCCCCCUGGAUCAUCCUCCACAGUCAGCAGCUUAGAUCCAAACCGCCAUCAUCCUCCAAGCCGAGACUCGACUACCACACAGACCGGCAACCCAGAACGCUCUCCUUCCUCCAGCAAGAUUAUUCCAUCAUCCUUAUUAUCACGGUCUUCUUCCCAACUCUAUAUUGCCCUCCUUCCACAGAACCUUGGGAAAAGUCUGGACUUUAUUCCAUCUGUAACAAUAAACCUGAUGAACUUUU